Molecule: ribosomal RNA, 253 nt
Filed under: uncultured bacterium
Lineage: Bacteria
Description: partial 16S ribosomal RNA
Rfam family: Bacterial small subunit ribosomal RNA
Source: RNAcentral
UACAGAGGGUGCAAGCGUUGCUCGGAAUCAUUGGGCGUAAAGGGUAGGUAGGUGGUCUCAUUUGUCUGGGGUGAAAGCCUUGAGCUUAACUCAAGAAGUGCCCCGGAAACGGUGAGACUGGAGUCUUGGAGAGGGUCGUGGAAUUCCCGGUGUAGCGGUGAAAUGCGUAGAGAUCAGGAGGAACACCAGAGGCGAAGGCGGCGACCUGGACAAGUACUGACACUCAACUACGAAAGCGUGGGGAGCAAACAGG